Long non-coding RNA from Sorghum bicolor (sorghum), 583 nucleotides. RefSeq lists it as uncharacterized. Lineage: Eukaryota; Viridiplantae; Streptophyta; Magnoliopsida; Poales; Poaceae. The record is from RefSeq and is a predicted model, not a curated record. The transcript has 2 exons.
GGCGGCAGCGGGCAGCGUCCGCCUGUCGUGGGGUCGUGGCCUCGUGGGGACGGGGGCGGACGCGGAUACGGACGCCACGCGUACCGGCUCCACUCGGCCCGCCAGCGGAGUAGGCCACGCCGUCGAUCUAGCCACCACCGUGGUGUCGAAGAGGCGCGGGAUGGAGUGAAGCGGGCGGUUGCCCAUGAAGCCCUCGGGCGACACUCGAUGGGCGGCUGGGCGUUCGAUGCUCCGGCUGCCGAUGCGGUUGUGGGCAGGCAAUGUCAAAGUCUGCGUGUAGCAGUGCAGCAUCAAGUAGUGCUGAAAAUUGUGUUAGGUCGGCCCAUAUGGACACUGCACAAAGAGAUAUGAGAACCUCAUUUUUGCAUUAUAGAUUUAAAACUUACAAGAUAUAUCUGGUGAUUAUAUCCAAUCUGGUGGAUACACAAGAAAGGGAUGCCAAGUGAGCUGAUUUCGGAUAUCUUUACCCUUGUUUUCAGCACUGUAUUUGUAGUGGUAACCCGAGCAUUUAAACCCUGGCUUUCUUAAAAGCAGAGUUAAUCUCCUUUAAAAGAAAUAUAUACAAUCUGAUGACAAUGCUGCA